RNAcentral lists this ribosomal RNA (1070 nucleotides) under Escherichia coli. RNAcentral describes it as "partial 23S ribosomal RNA". It matches the Rfam family "Bacterial large subunit ribosomal RNA", at positions 1291 to 2346 of the family's 2925-position model. Lineage: Bacteria; Pseudomonadati; Pseudomonadota; Gammaproteobacteria; Enterobacterales; Enterobacteriaceae. The record is from RNAcentral.
CGAAUGCUGACAUAAGUAACGAUAAAGCGGGUGAAAAGCCCGCUCGCCGGAAGACCAAGGGUUCCUGUCCAACGUUAAUCGGGGCAGGGUGAGUCGACCCCUAAGGCGAGGCCGAAAGGCGUAGUCGAUGGGAAACAGGUUAAUAUUCCUGUACUUGGUGUUACUGCGAAGGGGGGACGGAGAAGGCUAUGUUGGCCGGGCGACGGUUGUCCCGGUUUAAGCGUGUAGGCUGGUUUUCCAGGCAAAUCCGGAAAAUCAAGGCUGAGGCGUGAUGACGAGGCACUACGGUGCUGAAGCAACAAAUGCCCUGCUUCCAGGAAAAGCCUCUAAGCAUCAGGUAACAUCAAAUCGUACCCCAAACCGACACAGGUGGUCAGGUAGAGAAUACCAAGGCGCUUGAGAGAACUCGGGUGAAGGAACUAGGCAAAAUGGUGCCGUAACUUCGGGAGAAGGCACGCUGAUAUGUAGGUGAAGUCCCUCGCGGAUGGAGCUGAAAUCAGUCGAAGAUACCAGCUGGCUGCAACUGUUUAUUAAAAACACAGCACUGUGCAAACACGAAAGUGGACGUAUACGGUGUGACGCCUGCCCGGUGCCGGAAGGUUAAUUGAUGGGGUUAGCGCAAGCGAAGCUCUUGAUCGAAGCCCCGGUAAACGGCGGCCGUAACUAUAACGGUCCUAAGGUAGCGAAAUUCCUUGUCGGGUAAGUUCCGACCUGCACGAAUGGCGUAAUGAUGGCCAGGCUGUCUCCACCCGAGACUCAGUGAAAUUGAACUCGCUGUGAAGAUGCAGUGUACCCGCGGCAAGACGGAAAGACCCCGUGAACCUUUACUAUAGCUUGACACUGAACAUUGAGCCUUGAUGUGUAGGAUAGGUGGGAGGCUUUGAAGUGUGGACGCCAGUCUGCAUGGAGCCGACCUUGAAAUACCACCCUUUAAUGUUUGAUGUUCUAACGUUGACCCGUAAUCCGGGUUGCGGACAGUGUCUGGUGGGUAGUUUGACUGGGGCGGUCUCCUCCUAAAGAGUAACGGAGGAGCACGAAGGUUGGCUAAUCCUGGUCGGACAUCAGGAGGU